Molecule: long non-coding RNA, 548 nt
Filed under: Cyanistes caeruleus (blue tit)
Lineage: Eukaryota; Metazoa; Chordata; Aves; Passeriformes; Paridae
Description: lncRNA (ENSCCEG00000017279.1)
Source: RNAcentral
CUUAGCAUCAGACCUGGCAGUUUUGGGCUUUGGGCAUUCUCUUCAGAUUACUGUAUUAUUUCUGCCUUUGAAGGAAGCAUGCAAGAUACUACGUUGCAAAGAAGGAUUAGGGAUAACUAUCAUGACAUCUUCACAAUGUAUAGAUCCAAUAGGAAAAUGCACCCUUCAGGACAGUGGAAAAGCCCAGGAUAGACUGAUUCCUGUAAAGCUGGAAGGAAUUAUCAUUGCUUAAGGUGUGUAUUUUAAUAUAGUUCCAAAGAGAAUGUUUACUGAGAGCCUGUGGUUCAUUGUAUUCCUUCAUUGCUUCUACCUACGUCAGGUUAAACAAGUUAUCAGGGCAUCACAAGUGUAUAACCUAACGCAAAGCCUGCUUUUCAUCUGGAGAGAGAGAAAGAAGACAGUCACCUUUUUAAAGCAACAUGUAUGAGGAAUCACUGGACUGACUGAAGAACCACACUAUUUAAAUCAGAAUAUGCUGUAUGAAAAGACUUUGUUUUCAUUAACAUGGUGAGCUUUUCUGCCAAACUAGCUGCAACUGAAUAUCCUGC